UCAAAUUGGGGAAUGAACUUAAAUUUCCAAGAUCCAUUUUGCUCUACUUUUAAGUUCUAUGCUAAUAAGUUAUUCCUCAUUCUUGUUUAUUUUAUAUCAAUUCAGAAUGGACAAAUGAAAUUGUUGUUUUAGCAUGUCUUACCUGACACAACACUAACAUGGAUUUUAUUUAAAUAGGUUCUCAACCCUUCUGAGUCAUUUCUGAAUAUUAUGGUCGACUAUCCAUCGGUCGAAUGCACAUCAUCGGUUCUUGAAGCCUUGAUUAUGUUUAGUGAAAAUUACCCAGGGUACCGCAAAGAUGAGAUAGGAAAGUGCAUAAAACAUUGUUCCAUGUUUAUUGAGAAUAGUCAACGGAAGGAUGGAUCAUGGUUUGGCACUUGGGGUAUAUGUUUCACUUAUGGAACAUUAUUUGCUGUAAAAGGGUUAAUUGCUGCUGGAAGUACUUACAACAAUAGUUCCUUCAUAAGAAAAGCAUGCAACUUUCUGUUGUCAAAGCAGCUAAGUACAGGUGGAUGGGGUGAGACUUAUCUUUCAAGUGAAACUAAGGUAAUUCUUAUUCUUUUCUGUAUCUAACCACACAAUUUGAUUAAUGUUUGGUAUGUUCAAGGUUAAUUUUUGUAUUCUUUUAGCUUGAUAUGCUAAACAAAAGCUGUUAUCUGUCUAUCCUCGAGAAAGCUUUUGAGAUGCCAUCUGCCUAUCCCUGAGCAAGCUUUUUCGAGAUCUUAUCCACUCAUAGUUGUAUCUAUCAGAUCACUAGCACAAACUCGAAAUUCCCAAAGAGUUCAAAAUUUGAAACCACCCAUUGGAAAUUCAUUAGGAAUAGAGUGUGUUGCGCAACCCUGGACCAAACAAACCAGCAUCCUUGCCCCGGCCCGGUUAUAAUUCCAAGGCAAUCUAUAGAGCAACACCACCUUAUAAGGGAUCUUGGGCCCUCUGUUCGUAUAGUUUCAUCUCUACUUCCCCAUAGUCGUGUUUAUUCAUAUCAUCUCUCUAGUCUUGAGUUGUAAUUGAGAUGGUUGUUAAGUUCUAGUUUAUAGCCAAACUCUUGUCGAAUGAACCUGAUUUCAUUAAAAUGGGCUAUAUUCUGGCCAAAUACAUAUGAUUAUGCAUCACCGAAAAAGUGAAAGGUCCAUCAAUGGGUAUGCUACCCAAAUCUUUCAUUCAUAGAUGUAGGCUUUGGAAAAUUGGAACAUGGCAAAGUUUCUCUCCAAAAAAAGAUAACCUCCUAAGUUUGGGAUCAUUAUAUUUCUAGAGAAAA
Molecule: long non-coding RNA, 1258 nt
Organism: Triticum dicoccoides
Lineage: Eukaryota; Viridiplantae; Streptophyta; Magnoliopsida; Poales; Poaceae
Exons: 3
Source: RefSeq, a predicted model, not a curated record